RNAcentral lists this ribosomal RNA (301 nucleotides) under uncultured bacterium. Its description in RNAcentral is "partial 16S ribosomal RNA". It matches the Rfam family "Bacterial small subunit ribosomal RNA", at positions 509 to 809 of the family's 1533-position model. The record is from RNAcentral.
CAGCAGCCGCGGGAAUACAGAGGGUGCGAGCGUUAAUCGGAUUUACUGGGCGUAAAGCGUGCGUAGGCGGCUUUUUAAGUCGGAUGUGAAAUCCCUGAGCUUAACUUAGGAAUUGCAUUCGAUACUGGGAAGCUAGAGUAUGGGAGAGGAUGGUAGAAUUCCAGGUGUAGCGGUGAAAUGCGUAGAGAUCUGGAGGAAUACCGAUGGCGAAGGCAGCCAUCUGGCCUAACACUGACGCUGAGGUACGAAAGCAUGGGGAGCAAACAGGAUUAGAUACCCGUGUAGUCCCUGUCUCUUAUAA